This 108-nucleotide non-coding RNA is filed under the name human gut metagenome. Its description in RNAcentral is "FMN riboswitch (RFN element)". It matches the Rfam family "FMN riboswitch aptamer (RFN element)". Rfam says of the family: The RFN element is a highly conserved domain that is found frequently in the 5'-untranslated regions of prokaryotic mRNAs that encode for flavin mononucleotide (FMN) biosynthesis and transport proteins. This element is a metabolite-dependent riboswitch that directly binds FMN in the absence of proteins. The record is from RNAcentral.
AAUCUUCAGGGCGAGGUGUAAUUCCUCACCGGCGGUAAAGCCCGCGAGCCGAAAGGUUGAUUUGGUGAAAUUCCAAAGCCGACUGUAAAGUCAGGAUGGAAGAAGAUG